GAGAAGGCGGUGGGUGGGGAAGUGUGUGUGGCUUUCGGGCCAGGCCUCCAGCUUUAGGAUCCAGGAAGGGCAGCUCCGCACUUGUCAACCCACACAUGUGUGCAGAGGCCGCCGUGCACGAGGCGCAGGCCGGCCUUUUGUGCCAGAGAAAUAGUCCACUUCACUGGCAGGGUUGGGGGUUGCCGAGGGAUUAUGUGUGUCUGUGAGCCUAAGGGGGGUUGGUUAGGAAGAUUUAGGGCGUUGUACAAAUGCCAAAGCCAAUUUAUUUUGCAAUGCGCUGGGUAGCCUUCUGGAGUAGCUGAGAAGAAAGGACAUUUGAUAAUAUAAUCUUUAUGACCUGAAAAUUUCAUUUUAAUUGGGAAGGCCAAAAGCAGUGUUUAAGGUCUUUGCCCUGACAUUGCCCUAUAGUAAGGCGUUUAGGAUUAAAUUUGCUAGCAAAAUAGAAAUGCUUAGAAUCAGUUUCUUUUUGCAUGGGGUACUUAAAAAAAAAAAAAAAAUCUCAGCUUCCCAAAGCCUUUUUUGUGGUGAUAAAGGGAAUUUAGAGAAGGCAAACGUUUUUGUAAAUCCACAAAGAAUAGCUGCUUUGGAAAUUCAUAAGAUGCCUGUGGGAAAGCGUUUCUCUCCUGUGCAUGGUGGUAAAAUGGCAGUUAAACUGGAAACAAUGAAGGACAGUGAAAUUCAAUAUUCUAUAUUCUGGCAUUCAGCAGUGGGCUAUCGUGGCAGGGCUGCAAGUACAGUGCAUCGUGUUGAAAUGGGGGGAGAGGAACUUGACCCGUUAGUUAUGAAAAGAAGCUGUGAUGAAAGAGACAGAUGGGUUGCCAAGAGUUGCUGUCCAGAGAUAUUUAGGAGGAAGUGGGACUUUAUUGCCUGAAAAAAAUUAGCAAAGCAGUAAUUGUGCUAUUGAGGGACUGUGUGUGUGUGUGUGUGUGUGUGUUCGUGUUCCCUUUCAGCAAAACAGGAGGAAAGGGAAUUUGGAAAUGUAUACUUUGUGUCCUAUCAUAUAUUGUAAAAGUCCCCAAAACAGAUAGAAUAAACGGGGCCAUGGUGUGAAUUAUGUAGUUUUGGAAUACAUACUUGAGUAAAGUAAAAUUGUCAGUGGUGUUUACUGCUCCUGAGGCUUUGUUCUCUUCAUUAUCAUAUUAUAUUAUGGGAAAUCAGAUGGGAUCACAGUCUGUUUUAACUGGAGGGAAAAUUAAUUAGCUUAAUAACAUGUCUUACUACAGUACUGUGGUUAAGUCUGUGAGCACCCCAAUUAUAAGUAGAAGGGUGUAUAAUUUAGUUGUAUGAAUGAUGCAAGACUGUUCGUUAAAAAAAUCAUACUAGAAAUUGAGAACAUGUGAGUAUUUUGGAUAAAUUGGAAAGUCUUCAUAGAUCAUAAGCAAACUAAGACUUUAUUUUCCGUUUUCUGUUACUUUUAUUAUGUACUGAUAUUAACAGCCUUAAUGUUAAAACAUUUGACUGUGGAGUUUCCUCUGCUGAAUUUCUUUUUGAACAUUGGCUAAUGAGCAGAAGAUUCAUGCAAAUUUUUAAUUACAGAUUCAGUGGAUGUUACAGCUAAAGCCCAGAAAGAACAAGAAAAUUAAUGAAAUGCACCCAUUUUAGACUUGUUCAGUUCAAUUAAACAAGUAUGUGUUAAGAGCCUGCUAUGGGUGUAGCACUCUAUAAUGUGGGAUUUAAAGGUAAACAUCCCUCCCUGACCAAAAAAGUUGAGUACUUUUCAAUGGGAUCCCUUAAUUGGGAGGGAUUUUGGACCACAAAAUAAUCUCUAGGGUGCCGUUCAACUCUCAGAUUACAUAAUUGUGUUAGAAGGGAAGUAAUUUGUUAGUUCCGGGAGAACUUUUAUGUUCUCAAUAGAAGUGCCAGAAACUGGACGUAUUAGCUGCCACACAUUGUGGGAAUGUGAAAUUCAAACUCAAUAGGACAUUCAACCCAAUUUUAUUUUUUAAUGGGAACCAAUGACUUUAAUCAAGAUAGAAUAGUUUACAGAAUAUUAUUAGCAUGAAUAUAAUAGUAAUGUAAGUAUAAGGGGACCCUAGUUAAUAAAUUUGAUUUACCAGUAUCGGGAAACAUACAUACAAUGUAAAGAGAAAGAGAUGGAAAAUAUUAGCAGAUAAUAGACGGAAUCAAACCUUGUAACAUUCUGUUUUUUCAGCCCCAGAAGAUUUUAUUUAUAUGCCAGCAGUGAUAGCUGAAACACUGAUCCAGGUUAGGAUGUAUGAACAUAUUCAGCAAGGUUAUGGAGCCAGUUUAUUGAGAUACUGUUAGAAAGGAGACAUAUGUAGGGAGCUUAAAGUCUAGAGGAAGAGACAGAAGAACAGGCCCAACAGCAUGAAGAGAAUGCGUUUCCUUUACUUCAGACCUCGGGCUGCUUUUCCUGUUAAUAAACAAGAAUCAAUAGGAAAAUGGGGGGGGUGCCUGGGGGGCUCAAUCGUUAAGCGUCUGCCUUCGGCCUAGGUCAUGAUCCCAGGGUCCUGGGAUCAAUCCCCGCAUCAGGCCCCAUGCUCCAGGCUCCACGGGGAGCCUGGUUCUCCCUCUCCCACUCCCCCUGCUUGUGUUCCCUCUCGCUGUGUCUCUUUCUGUCAAAUAAAUAAAUAAAUACAUAAUCUUAAAAAAAAAAUAGGAAAAUCCCCCCACUUCAAAGUUCUACUGAUUAUUAUUGACAUUUUGAUAAAUUAAAACCUUUAAGUUUGGGGCAUUCAUGAUAACUAAUGUAUUUAUUACAGUACUUUGAACCGACUGUUAAUAGUAGGUAGUCUCUUACCCAACCUCCACUUAAACCAACUUGGUACACUGAAUGCUGUUGUUACUCUGGGAGCUACUGGGUUUCAUAUACCCCCCAACCAUGAGGCCUCCCGACCAAUUGCGCACUUAACAAAGAAUCAGUUGUCUUUAUUCCUAUAUUUGUUUAUGUUCAUCAUACUUGUAAUUAUGCGGUGUAAUUAAAUAUGAUGUAAGUCCAUGAAAUUUGAGUUCAAAAAGAAUGGUUUUGUGAGAAGUAUUCUAAAUGCUUUGGAAUGACUCAAUAAUUUCAAGUCAUUAAAAGAAAUUACUGCUCGGGGGGCCUGGGUGGCUCAGUCGUUAAGUGUCUUCCUUCGGCUCAGGUCAUGAUCCCAGGGUCCUGGGAUCGAGCCCCGCAUCGGGCUCUCUGCUCGGCCAGGAGCCUGCUUCUCCCUCUCCCACUCCCCCUGCUUGUGUUCCCUCUCUAGCUGUCUCUCUCUCUGUGUCAAAUAAAUAAAAUAAAAUAAUCUUUAAAAGAAAUUACUGCUCAAUUAUAUGGAUAAGCAAAAGAUGAAGAGGGAGUCUUAAAAGUUUAGAAAGACUCUGCACAUAGAUAAAGUGUUUUCAGGUUUUUGUUUUUCUUUAUAGAAACCUGAACUGGAGGGACGCCUGGGUGGCUCAGUCGGUUAAGUGUUCGGCUCUUGGUUUAGGCUCAGGUCAUGAUCCAGGGUUUGUGGGAUUGAACCCUGCAUUGGGCUCCACAUUCGGCAGGGAGUCUGCUGGAGGUUCUCUCCCCCUCCCUCUCUCCGUUCCCCUCCCCCUGCUUGCACAUGUGCACGCAUGUGCUUUCUCUCUCUCUCUAAAAUGAAUAAUUUUUUAAAAACAAACAAAAAAACCCUGAACUGGAAAAUAGGUCAUGCAUGAUGGGUGUGGUAUAUGAAAGACAACUCAGCGUUCAACAAUAGACCUAUACUCAAGACAAGAUCUUGGACCUACAAACAAGGAUUAGCAAAUAAAUAUACAUUUAUUUUUAAUCUGCUCUGUCUUCCAAUUAACAUUUUAUCAUACUGAAACUGGUUUCUUGAGUAAGAUUUUACUGUUCUGGAUUGGGUAAUAUGACACUCAUCUUUGUCAUAUUAUUCAACUUUGGCUCUCCGAAAGCACUUACAUUUGAGAUUUUUCCCUCUUUUCUCUUUUUUGGAGCCUCUGUGAUGGGACAGGAAGUGAAGUAUACUAGAGGUGGGCUUGCUUGUACUCUUCUACCCUCCCCAGAGUGGAGUGGGGGAGUGUAACAGGCGUCUUAGAUGAUUGAAAUGUCUAGCAGUGUGAAAUACUCUUUUAGAAAGACCAGUGACAUAGGUUGUGUACCAGAUGAUGUCGCAGUGCUUAGUGCUUAGGAAUUAAAGCUGUGCCUAGGAUCUGUUUUUACUCAAGGUAAAAAAUGAGUACUGAUAGGAUUGUCGCAGAUUUCCCUGUGUAUUAGAACUGCUUUUAAAAAGAAAGGACAAAAGUGUCCUUAAGGGUCUUAGGUUGGUUUGUUGAGCUUUUCCAUCUCUUCGCAAGGGACUGCUGCUUCUCAUUUUCUCAAUUCCUUGAGCUCACGGGGUUGGGUGGGGAGAUGAUUGACAUUGAAGAUCCUCAGGGGGCAACGACUCUGGUGGCCUGAGUGUUUGGGCCACCAGACACUUGGGCCUGAGUGUUUGGGAAGGAAGGAUGUCACUGCAGAUCGCACCUUCCCCUGGGCUCUAGAGAGGGGAGUAAAAGCACAGGUGGCAAUCCCAGAGGUGAUAACCAUGACGAAGAGCUUCCAGUAGAUCCCAGGCUGGUUGGAGAGUCUUUUCGUAACAUAACUUGGUCAUUGUCCAGUAUUACAUUGCUCUAAGAUCAUGGUGGGUGCAUUGAUCCAGUCAGUUUUCUGUCUUUCCUUCUCGGGGUGUGUGGUUUCCCUUGUGCCUACCUAAUAAUACUGGUUAGUCAGUUAGACAUUUCUCCUAUUAUCUCCUUUUCUGGCUACAUCCUGAGAUGUGAAUUCUGGUCUGAAAUCAAACUGCAGUCUCCUUCUUUUUAAAAGAUUUUUUAUUUACUUAUUUGACAAAGAGAGACACAGCAAGAGAGGGAACACAAGCAGGGGGAGUGGGAGAGGAAGAAGCAGGCUUCCCACUGAGCGAGGAGCCCGACGUGGGGCCCCAUCCCAGGACCCUGGGAUCAUGACCUGAGCCGAAGGCAGAGGCUUAACGACUGAACCACCCACGCGCCCCUGCAGUCUCCUUCUUUUCCAUUCUUUGCCCUGACCUUUCUUUUUUUUUUUGCUCUUGAGUGAUUCUCAUGUCUCAGUAAAUAAUGGUGUUGCAUAUCUACUUUGUGUGAAGCAAUCUCUAUUUUUCUUCAUAGCCUAGUACAAAAAGGAAGAGCCCUUGUUCAAGAAUACAUUAGUUUAUUCAUUUUUUGAGAGCCCUAUUAUGGACUAGUCUCUGUACAAGAUCCUGGGAAUACACAGGUAAAUAAAUCUGUGGUCCUUCAUAAAGUCAAGCUGUCUGCCUGCUGUGUAUCUGUGUCCAUCCCCUCCUGCCCGCCCAGCAGCCUCACUCCUGUGAGUGUCCUGUCUUUCCUGCUUCAUUGCCUUUUCUUCUCUACUUUAUCGUUCCCAGGACAAACAGGCUAAAGUAUUUCCCAUCUUAAAAGAAAUGCUCCCUUGCCCCAUGUUCCCUCCAGCUACUAUCCCAUUUCUCUCUUCCCCUUCACAGAAAAAUAUUUCUGUACUUGCUGUUUCCAUUUUCCCUCUUCCAAUUUCUCUUGAACUCAUUCCAUUCGGGCACUCUUCUGUGAUUCUGCUGGAGCCAGUCUUCAAGAUAACAAGUUAACAAAUCCAGUGGCCAGUCCUGAAUCCUUGUUACCUCAUCAUUCCUUACAUUCCUUUCUUUACCUUGCUUCUAGGACAUCUUUCUAGUUCUUCCCUUUCUUUCUGGUUGUUCCUUCUUAGUAUUGUGUUCCUCCUCAUUUUCCUGAAUUCUUUCAUUGCCGUGCACAAGGAUACAAUCUUUGAACUACUCCCUCACCCCAACACACGCUCACACACAUGAUCUCAUUUGGUCCCCUCUUUAAAUACCAUAUUUAUACUGAUUACUUUCAACUGUCUAUUUUUAGCCCUAAUUUCUCUCAUGAAAUCAAGACUUGAAUAUACUGCAAUCUACUCAGUGUUUCCAUUUGGAUAUCAGAUAGGCAUCUCAAACUUAAAAUACCCAAACUGAAUUCUUUUUUUUUUUUUUUUUUAAAGAUUUUAUUUGUUUGACAGAGAGAGACACAGCGAGAGAGGCAACACAGGCAGGGGGAGUGGGAGAGGGAGAAGCAGGCCUCCCGCCGAGCAGAGAGCCCGAUGUGGGGCUCGAUCCCAGGACCCUGGGACCAUGACCUGAGCUGAAGGCAGACGCUUAACGACUGAGCCACCCAGGCACCCCCCCAAACUGAAUUCUUGAUUCCAUCCACCAAAAACCAAACAGCAACAGAAACCUGCUUCUCCUACAGUUGAGCCUUUCAGUAAAGGAAAUCUCUAUGCUACCAGUUGCUCAGAUCGUCAUUUAUGGAGGACCUACCAUCAUUUAGGCAAAUGUCCAAGCCUGACAGAGAAAAGAGAAAGAGAAGCCUUUUUCUGGAUAAAGAAAGUUCUUGUCCUCAGCCUGCCUCCCCCACUCUGUCCCAAAACUGUACUUGGAGAAAGAGAAAUUCAGAGGGUCCAACCAAACCAAUGUCUGGGAGAGGAAUAAAGACACUUCUCACCCCCCAGGACUUGAAAAUGAGAAGCUCAACAGAGAACCCUACUGGUUUGGAACUUUGGAGCUGCCACCGGAACCAGGAAAAUCCUUCAAAAUUAAACUUACUUUUUAUUUCAUGAUAUUAAUACUUUGUACCAUUAAAAACUCGUACUUUAUGGCAUGUCUAAGAAAAUAUUUUAAAUACAUAAAAGAAAACCAGUUUAUUUUAAUACCUUGAACUUUAUUUAAAAUAAUCCUUGUAGCUUGAUUUUAUAAUAAAACUUAAACAUUUUUUAAACUAGAAACACAGUGCUGUGGGAGAAAGAAAUGAGGAGAUGAAUUCUUUGGUUUAAUAAGGUGCGUGUCUGGGAAGGACUUGGCAGAGGACUUGAUCAAGGGACUUGGGGAGAGGGUCUGACUGGGCAAAGAGGCCAAGGGCAGCUGAGGCAGUAGCGUAUGCAUUAGAGCCUCUGGAGAAGAGUUUGUGGGCCAUGGUGCAGAGAUAUAGAGUGUACUGAACGAUUGAUUUUUCUGGCAGAAAAUCAGAGAAUAGAAUGUAGAGUCAUUCUGUGAGUGACUUUGCAAGUGGAUGCCUGUCUUUGAGGAGAAGGAUAAAUGCUUGUUAUUUCUAGGGUUUCUGGUCAGCUCCUCUUUCCUCAGAGCAUUCUUCUCUUCUUUUUGGAGAAAUCCUCCUUUGGAGAGGAGGGAGGGCCCACUCUCCCAUCCCAAGAACUGAAUGGGCACAGUGUGUGUGCCCAUUCUCUGGUGUGCCUGUGUGGAUGCAGGACUCAGGCUCCAUUAGUUGUGGCUCAGUGCUUCCAGUCCUGAGGAGGUUGGGGGGAAGGUAGGGGGAGGGCAGUGGCUAUGUGCUUACCAGAUGUUUGUGUUUUAGAUCCAGGCUUUUGCUGCCAGCCCUGGCGUGCCAUGGUGUGGGCAUAUCUUCCAAGCCUGGCCUUUUAGUCCUUGCCACCCCACUAUUUUGAGCCUUUGAUAUUUCUUUCAGUACAGUCCCUUUGACUACAGAUGGCCAGACUUGGUUUGAGCCCUGUCUAAUGCACCUCCUGGGUAGUUUUUAAGGUAACCUCCUCACUAAUGCAGUGUACCAGAGGAAAUGUAUGUGCAGAGUCCAAAUUUUUAUUAAUUUCUUUUUCUUUUUUUAUUAAAGAUUUUAUUUAUUUGAGAGAGAGAGCCAGUGAGAGAGAGAGCACGAGCAUGAGCAGUGGGAGAGGGGCAGAGGAAUAGGGAGAAGCAGGCUCCCUUGGGGCUCAAUCCCAGGACCCUGAGAUCAUGACCUGAGCUGGAGGCAGACACUUAACUGAAUCACUGAGGAGCCUCUGUUUUUUUUCCCUGGGAGAGCUUUUUCAUUUUAUUCAUGGUGGAGGCUUUAACAUUUUUCCAUUUUUUAUGGUAAAAAUUUCUUCUUGCCAGAGUUUGUAAAAUUGAUUUUAAAUGGCCAAAGAAUAAUCCAGUCAAAUUAGAGCAAGUGUAACUAACACUGGCCUAAAUGCUGAUAUUUUUAUGAAAUGCUUACCAGCAUCGUCAUACCCUCUCUACGCUCGGUGCUUAUAGUUUCUCAUUUUAGAAUUGUCCUAAAGAAUAUUUGAGAGUGUGUGAAUUUUUAAAUAUUUUAAACCUUGUGGAUAUCAAGGACCAGAUUUUAAAAAAUGUGUUUUAAAAAAAUUUUUAAGUAAUCUCUGCCCCCAACAUGGGGCUUGAACUCGUGACCCCGAGAUUAAGAGUUGCAUGCUCCAUGGACUGAGCCAGCUAUUUAGUGCCCCCUAAAAUGUUUUUUAAUAAUAUAAGUUUAUGAAAACUAUAGGUUGUUUCUUAAAAUACACAUUAUAGUCUCCAAGUUCCAUCUUGGUCAACAAGAAUUUACGGAGUCCUUUAUAUAAAGUACUAAUCUAGAUGCAGUGACGAUUUUUAAAACUGAGGAUGUGUUUCCUAGUCUCUGGGAAGAAUACUUUUCUAAAUUGGUUAAUUUCCUUCAGUCAUUUCAGUGCAGUUGAACAAGCAGCUAUUUGUUUUAUAUGGGGGCAGAUAGAAAAAUGGAAGAGACAGGACUUAAAGUACGUGGAACAAUUAGAAAAAGUGUAGAGGCUGUGCUUUGGAGAGACUUCAUGUUGGAGACAAAACACUGAAGUCGUCAAUCUUGUGCUUUAGGAAAGGAUAGGAUGUAGGUAGGUAGGAAGGAGGGGAACGGGUAUGUAUAGAAGGCGAUCCAGCUUGGAUGUGGGUUGAUUAGGACAGGUUUUUAGGAAAGAAGUACAUUUUUAUCUGAGAUCGGAGGGUAGAUAAAAGAAAAAACCUAGAGCCCGAAUUAUAUUGAUGUGAAUUUGAGAAAACACCUUCCAGGUGGCACCAUCUUUCUGAGAAGUAAAAGAUAUAUAUACUGAAAGUGGUUUGGUCAUAGGAAUUUCAGAGGCAAGAAAAAGUCUGGCAGACUAGUAUGGUUGGGAUCCAAAGGAUAGUUUUGUAAGGUUGGAGGUUGAAUGGUCUGUAUCCUCACAAGCAGUUGUGGGCCUACUGUGUGUAGAGCACCACGGAGGAUGAACUUUAAGCAGGAAAGACCGUUUUAGAACUCUGGAAACUUAAAUUCCAUCUUCAAAAGAGAGGAUAGAAUUUAUAGUGUUUACAUUUUCUGUAUUUCCCUAUCCCUUUGCAUGUAGGAGCUGGAGAGGGGAAAGGAAACAGGAAAUGUUUCAAGGUUGGGGACUGAUUCAGGAGCAUUAUAUAAGGUCAGGGGAGUGGGAAACUAACCGAGAGUCAAUUUUUCCAUCUGUAAAGUGGGAAAAAAUGGCACCUAAUUUAUGAAGUUCUAUGAAACUUGAAUGAGGGAAGAUAAAGUCUUUCCCAGGUACUUAUUGAGUACCCAAGAAUUGUUAGCCAGUGGUACUGAGACAGGAACACUGAAGGAAUCCCAAUGGUCAACAAAUAAUUACAAUUCAGUGAGAGAAGUGUUGUGGAAAAAAAAAAAGUGUUGUGAAAGAACCCUGCCCAGAAUGCUUAAGGAAUGGAGUGACUAAUGCUGAAUAGGAAAGUUGGAAAUAGUGGGAAAGGAGUAAAUCUGGGUGUUGAAGGGUGAGUAGGAGUUUGCUGCCACUAUGUUAAUAGAGAUUAUGCAAACCUUAAAAAAAUCACAUCAGAUCCUGAUCAUAAUGGCCUAACACAGCUGCAUCAAGAUAGAUGUCAGUGUGGCAUGGGAUCCAAAAACAUAGGAAGUGGGAAAGAAAAAAUUUAAUGGAAUAAACUUUAAAAAGGAUUUAAAUGUAAUAAAUGUGGCAGUGUGAGUGUACUUUGAAAGGGCUUUAUGGAAGGAGGUAAGACCUGAGGUUAUAGAAUCUUGAAAUUUGUAAACCUGGAAGUAACCCUAGACCAAAUCUAUCCAGCCAUUUCAGUGAGAUAAGGGAACUGAAACCAAAAAGGUGUUCACAUCUGUCUACUGUGCUAUUUCUGGUAAAAUAAUGCAUAUGCAGGUAGAAAAGAACAGUUUUUUUUUUUUUCCUGGCAGAUCCACAAGAAGGAGUUAAAUAAGUGGAAAGGAAGAAAGUUGAAUAAAAAUACAUUUCUAAAGCUGACUCCCAGCGCCAGCAUUGAAAACAAAGCAGGUGGCAUGAGAGGCCGUGAUACAAUUAUAGAAGUAUAGUCGAUAGUGACUUGAGCAGCAUCUAUUGCUUAUUGUCACCAUUGGCUGUGGCUGAUCACGCAUCCCAGAGCCAGCACAUGUGUGUUGUGGGAAGAAAGCUGAAUUUAUCAGAAACAUGGAUAUUUUGGGCAAAGUUUGAAUGCCAGAGGCUUAUUUUUGAAGGCAGUUUUAUUAGUCUUCCUUCCGUUAUAAAGCUAUUUCAUGCUCACUGUAGUGAAUUUGGAAAACAUCCCCUCUUUUGAGCCCACUAGAUGGUAAGUUACCAGAGUUCUAAUGUGUCUCCCCUGCGCGGAGUUCACCUUCCCUGGUGCUUGCAUGGUGCUUUAUACAUAGCAGGUUCACAGUUGUUGGGAGGAUAAGUAACCUCCAAAUCAUUUCUUCCAAAACGUACAGAGGAAAUUCUUUAAUCAUUAUGGUUUUUGGGUUUUACAACAUUGUGACUGAUUUAAAUACAAUUUUAUAAACUGUUUUUUCACGUAUUAUAAACAUUUUUUCCCCUAAUCUGAACUCAGCAUAAACAUUCUAAUGGCUAUGUGCCCAUUGAAUGGAUGAAAGCAUUUACUUAAAUGUUCCUCUCUUGUUGUAAAUGACAUUGUUAAAUCACAUAAGAAGGUAAUAUUGGCAACCACAGUAAUUACUGUUUUAUCUUUCUGUAGUCUCAAGAAGUACACAUUUUUAAAAGUAUGACCGCCAACCAUCUUAAAGAAUUACCACUCUCCAUUUGCCACCGUCUUUCCCCAGUCCUUAUUCAUAAGAAGCACGUAUGAGAUUUAGUGAAGAGUGGUGGUAUUUUGCACUUUUUACAAAUCUCCUAAAUUUACAAAUCUCCAAAUAUCCUUAGAUAAUUGAUAGCUGGGUUUUCUUAUCUGCUAUUCAAUACAGAUUCUGUGUCUUUUGAUAUGUUGUUUUGAAGUAUCUGAAGAAAAUUGAGUCUCACGCAGAAUAUGUAGUGAAUUAUUUAGUAGAAUGUUCCUUAAUGUGGGUCUCAUGGUUUCUCAUGGUUAGAUUGAGGUCAUGCAUUUUUGGCGAUAAUAUCACAGAAGUGAUGUGUCCUUGUCAGUGCAUCAUAUCAAAAGGUACAUGAUGUCAAUGUAUCUUAUUACUGGUGAUGUUAACCUUGAUUGUUCGGUUAAGGUGAGGUCUGUCUGGUUUCUCCACUGUAACAUAGUUACAAAUCUUUUUUCUUCUGGUGUUGAGAACUUUUAAGAUUUACUUUCUUAGCAACUUUCAAAUAACUAUACAAUAGAGUAUUGUUAACUAUAGUCCCCAUGCUGUACGUUACAUCCCCAGAACUUACUUAUCUUGUAACUGAAAGUUUGUAGCUUUUGACUUUUUUCAGCCCCCCACACCCACCUCUGCCAGCCGCCACCUAUCUGUUCUCUGUUUCUGUGAGCUUAGUUUUUUUAGGUUCCACAUGUGAGCGAGAUCAUAUAGUAUUUGUUUUUGACUUAUUCCACAAAGCACAGUGCCUUCAGGGUCCAUCCAUGUUGCAAAUGGCAGGUUUCCCUUUUCUUUGGCUGAAUAAUACUCCUCUGUGUGUGUGUCACAUUUUCUUUAUCCAUUCAUCCAUCUGAUGGACACUUAGGUUGUUCCCAUGUCUUGGCUGUUGUAAAUAAUUCUGCAGUGUAUAUGGACAUGCAGAUACCUAUUUGAGAUAUGAUUUUGUUUCCUUGGGAUAUAUACCUAGAAGUGGGAUUGAUAGAUCAUAUGGCAGUUCUAUUUUUAAAUUUUUGAGAAACCACCAUACUGUUUUCCAUAGUGGCUGAACCAGUUUACAUUCUCAUCAGCAGCAUACGAAGGUUCCAUUUUUUCCACAUCCAGCACUUUUAAUCUCUUGUCAUUUUAUUUUUAUUUAUUUAUUUUUAAAGAUUUUAUUUAUUUAUUUGACAGAGACACACACAGUGAGAGAGGGAACACAAGCAGGGAGAGUGGGAGAGGGAGAAGCAGGCUUCCCGCGGAGCAGGGAGCCUGAUAUGGGAUCAUGACCUGAGCCGAAGGCAGACGCUUAACGACUGAGCCACCCAGGGGCUCUUCUCUUGUCAUUUUAAUGAUAGCCAUUUUAACAGUUGUGAGGUGAUAUCUCAUUGUGGUUUUGAUUUGUAUUUCUCUGACAGUUAAUGAUGUUGAGCAUCUUUUCAUGUACCUGUUUGUCAUUUAUAGGUAAUCUUUGAAAAAAUGUUUCUUUGGUUCUUCUACCAAUUUUUUUUUUUUUUAGAUUUUUUAUUUAUUUGAGAGAGAGUGCAUAAGCAGGGGGUGCAGGGGCAGAAGACGAGGGAGAAGCAGACUCCCCACUGAGCAGGGAACCCGUUACAGGGCUUGAUCCCAGGACCUCAGGAUCACGACCUGAGCCGAAGGCAGACGCCCAACUGAUUGAGCCACCCAGGCGCCCCUCUUCUGCCCAUUUUUAAAUCACAUCGGUUUUCUUUCUGUUUUUGUUGAAUUGUAUGAGUUCCUUGUAUAUUUGGAAUAUUAUCCUUAUCAGACAUACAAUUUGCAAAUAUUUUCUCCCAUUUGGUAGGUUGCUUUUUCAUUUUAUUGAUGGUUUCCUUUGCUGUGUGCAGGAGCUUUUUUAGUUUGAUUCAGUCCCACUUUAUCUAUCUGUCUGUCUGUAUAUAUGUCUAUCUAUCUAUCUAGUAAGCUCUACACCCAGUGUGGGGCUUGAACUCAUGACCCUGAGAUCAAGAGUCGCAUGCUCUACCGGCUGAGCCCGCCAGGUGCCCCUGUUGCCUUUGCUUUAGUGUCAAAUUAAAAAAUCAUUGCCAAGACUGAUGUUAAGGAGCUUACCCCCCGUGUUUUCUUCUAGGAGUUUUCUGAUUUCAGGUCUCACAUUAAAGUCUUUAAUUCAUUUUGAGUUGAUUUUUGUGUCUGACGUAAGGAGUGGUGCAGUUUCAUUCUUUUGCAUGGGGCUGUACAAGUCUUUCCAGCACCAUUUAUUGAAGAGACUGUCCUUUCCCUAUUAACGGAUUUUUGGCUCCUUUGUCAUAAAUUAACUGACCAUAAGUGUAUGGGUUCACUUCUGGGCUCUCUAUUCUAUCCUAUUGAUCUAUGUGUCUGUUUUGAGGCCAGUACCAUACUGUCUUGAUUACUAUAGCUUGGUAAUAUAGUUUGGAAUUAGAAGCGUGGUUUGUUCUUCUUAAGAUUGCUUUGGCUCUUCAGGGUCUUUUGUGGUUCCAUACAGAUUUUAGGAGUGUUGUUUUAUUUUUGUGAAAAGUGUCAUUUGGAAUAUUGGUAGGGAUUGCAUUGAAUUUGUAGAUUGCUUUGGGUAGUAUGGAACGUUUUAACAAUACUAAUCUUCCAUCCAUGAGCAUGGAAUAACUGUCCAUUUAUUUGUGUCUUCAGUUUCUUUCAUGUCUUAAAAUUUUCAGUGUACAUAUCUUUCACCUCCUUGGUUAAAUUUAUUCCCAGGUAUUUUAUUCUUUUUGAUGCAUUUGGAAAUGGGAUUUUUUUUUUCUUAAUUUCUUUUUCUGAUAGUUCAUUGUUAGGGUACAGAAAUGCAACUGAUAUUUUUGUAUAUGGGGUUUGUAUCCUGCAACUUGGUGUAAUCUUUAGGGUUUUCUUAUAUAUAAGAUCAUGUUAUCUGCAAAUAGUCAAAGUUUUACUUUUUCCUUUCUAACUUGGAUGCCUUUUAUUUCUUUUUCUUGCCUAGGUGCUUUGGCUAGGAUUUCCAGUACUGUGUUGAAUAAAAGUAGCAAGAGUGGACAUCUUUGUUCUGUUCCUAAUUUUGGAGGAAUAGCUUUCAGUUUUUCACCUUUGAGUAUGAUGUUAGCUGUGGGCUUGUCAUAUAUGGCCUUUAUUAUGUUGAGGUACAUCCUCUUUUUACCCACUCUGUUGAGAGUUUUGUUUUUUUU
Mirounga angustirostris (Northern elephant seal) is the source of this 13961-nucleotide long non-coding RNA. RefSeq lists it as uncharacterized. The transcript is spliced from 2 exons. The record is from RefSeq and is a predicted model, not a curated record. NCBI's taxonomy places the organism in Eukaryota, Metazoa, Chordata, Mammalia, Carnivora, Phocidae.